Molecule: transfer RNA, 73 nt
Filed under: Stegodyphus mimosarum
Lineage: Eukaryota; Metazoa; Arthropoda; Arachnida; Araneae; Eresidae
Rfam family: tRNA
About the family: Transfer RNA (tRNA) molecules are approximately 80 nucleotides in length.
Source: Rfam by way of RNAcentral
GCCUUCGUGGUGUAGUGGUUAGCAGGUUCGGCGCGUAUUCGAGAGAUCCUUGGUUCGAGUCCCGGCGAGGGCA